This is a non-coding RNA of Saccharata proteae CBS 121410, 86 nucleotides long. Lineage: Eukaryota; Fungi; Ascomycota; Dothideomycetes; Botryosphaeriales; Saccharataceae. The record is from the annotation of a GenBank genome assembly.
GCGGCGGUAGCUCAGUGGUAGAGCGUGGGACUGCAGUAACUCCUGCAUUCAUCUUAAGGUCACCAGUUCAAACCUGGUUCGCCGCU